GAUGAACGCUGGCGGCGUGCCUAAUACAUGCAAGUCGAGCGAACAGAUGAGGAGCUUGCUCCUCUGACGUUAGCGGCGGACGGGUGAGUAACACGUGGAUACCCUACCUAUAAGACUGGGAUAACUUCGGGAAACCGGAGCUAAUACCGGAUAAUAUAUUGAACCGCAUGGUUCAAUAGUGAAAGACGGUUUUGCUGUCACUUAUAGAUGGAUCCGCGCCGCAUUAGCUAGUUGGUAAGGUAACGGCUUACCAAGGCAACGAUGCGUAGCCGACCUGAGAGGGUGAUCGGCCACACUGGAACUGAGACACGGUCCAGACUCCUACGGGAGGCAGCAGUAGGGAAUCUUCCGCAAUGGGCGAAAGCCUGACGGAGCAACGCCGCGUGAGUGAUGAAGGUCUUCGGAUCGUAAAACUCUGUUAUUAGGAAAGAACAAAUGUGUAAGUAACUAUGCACGUCUUGACGGUACCUAAUCAGAAAGCCACGGCUAACUACGUG
This 497-nucleotide ribosomal RNA is filed under the name uncultured bacterium. RNAcentral's name for it is "partial 16S ribosomal RNA". It matches the Rfam family "Bacterial small subunit ribosomal RNA", at positions 28 to 507 of the family's 1533-position model. The record is from RNAcentral.